UCAUGAAUGAUCACAUCUAAUACUUUUCCUUUUUUAAAGGGGUAGCUGCAAAGUUUUGGACAAGACCUCUGCAGGCAACUGGAAGCACAGUGUACCCAGGUGGAGCCCAACCUCAUCAGCAUCUUUCCUUCAGGCAAACUGACAAUACAGGAUCUAGUCAAUGACUCAAGUGGAUUCAACUAUCUAAGAGGUGUGACAGCAACUUUGAGGAUGUGCAGAUAUCCAGUUUAUUACACAUUCAAUAAAAUAUUUUUCCCACCCUGCUUCAUCUCCAUCAGAUUCUUCUGGCACCAAUGGCUCUUUCUUAAAACACUUCUGUGGGUUUGUAC
Molecule: long non-coding RNA, 329 nt
Filed under: Urocitellus parryii (Arctic ground squirrel)
Lineage: Eukaryota; Metazoa; Chordata; Mammalia; Rodentia; Sciuridae
Description: lncRNA (ENSUPAG00010001094.1)
Source: RNAcentral